CUACGGGUGGCAGCAGUGGGGAAUAUUGCACAAUGGGCGCAAGCCUGAUGCAGCAACGCCGCGUGAGGGAUGACGGCCUUCGGGUUGUAAACCUCUUUUAGCAGGGAAGAAGCGAAAGUGACGGUACCUGCAGAAAAAGCACCGGCUAACUACGUGCCAGCAGCCGCGGUAAUACGUAGGGUGCAAGCGUUGUCCGGAAUUAUUGGGCGUAAAGAGCUCGUAGGCGGUUUGUCGCGUCUGCUGUGAAAACCCGAGGCUCAACCUCGGGCCUGCAGUGGGUACGGGCAAGCUAGAGUGCGGUAAGGGAGAAUGGAACUCCUGGUGUAGCGGUGGAAUGCGCAGAUAUCAGGAAGAACACCAAUGGCGAAGGCAGUUCUCUGGGCCGUAACUGACGCUGAGGAGCGAAAGCGUGGGGAGCGAACAGGAUUAGAUACCCCCGUAGUC
Molecule: ribosomal RNA, 444 nt
Filed under: uncultured bacterium
Lineage: Bacteria
Description: partial 16S ribosomal RNA
Rfam family: Bacterial small subunit ribosomal RNA
Source: RNAcentral